RNAcentral lists this ribosomal RNA (355 nucleotides) under Enchytraeidae sp. E4. RNAcentral describes it as "SSU rRNA". It matches the Rfam family "Eukaryotic small subunit ribosomal RNA", at positions 32 to 378 of the family's 1831-position model. The record is from RNAcentral. RNAcentral also lists the same sequence under 1 other name. Lineage: Eukaryota; Metazoa; Annelida; Clitellata; Enchytraeida; Enchytraeidae.
UUGUCUCAAAGAUUAAGCCAUGCAUGUCUAAGCACAAACUUUUACACAGUGAAGCUGCGAAUGGCUCAUUAGGUCACCCAUGAUUUCUUAGAUCGUACAAUCCUACUUGGAUAACUGUGGUAAUUCUAGAGCUAAUACAUGCAAUUAAGCUCCGACCCCUCGUGGGGAAGAGCGCGUUUAUUAGAUCAAAACCAAUCGGGUCUUCGGAUCCGCACGUUUGGUGACUCUGGAUAACUUCGAGCUGAUCGCAUGGCCUCGCGCCGGCGACGUAUCUUUCAAGUGUGUGCCCUAUCAACUUUCGAUGGUACGUGAUAUGCCUACCAUGGUUGUAACGGGUAACGGGGAAUCAGGGUUC